AUGUCCUCCAUCACGAUCUCGAAUGAAACUAUCCAUGGAAUCGUGCACCGUGUGAAACGUAGAUCAUCGCCGUUCUUAACCGAGACUCAGAUUAAGCUCCGUCUCGGAACCGCCGUGGGGUUAGGAGUAAAGCAUCACGAGGUUGGCACAUCUCAUUGGGCGUGGAGAAGCAUUGGGAACCCCAAUAUCUUUCUUCGGAGCAGUUUCUUUUCCCGUCCCCUCGCCCCGGCAUAG
This 234-nucleotide ribosomal RNA is filed under the name Triticum aestivum (bread wheat). RNAcentral's name for it is "partial small subunit ribosomal RNA". Lineage: Eukaryota; Viridiplantae; Streptophyta; Magnoliopsida; Poales; Poaceae. The record is from RNAcentral.